This 497-nucleotide ribosomal RNA is filed under the name uncultured bacterium. RNAcentral's name for it is "partial 16S ribosomal RNA". It matches the Rfam family "Bacterial small subunit ribosomal RNA", at positions 28 to 507 of the family's 1533-position model. The record is from RNAcentral.
GAUGAACGCUGGCGGCGUGCCUAAUACAUGCAAGUCGAGCGAACAGACGAGGAGCUUGCUCCUCUGACGUUAGCGGCGGACGGGUGAGUAACACGUGGAUAACCUACCUAUAGGACUGGGAUAACUUCGGGAAACCGGAGCUAAUACCGGAUAACAUGUUGAACCGCAUGGUUUAACAGUGAAAGACGGUCUUGCUGUCACUUAUAGAUGGAUCCGCGCCGCAUUAGCUAGUUGGUAAGGUAACGGCUUACCAAGGCAACGAUGCGUAGCCGACCUGAGAGGGUGAUCGGCCACACUGGAACUGAGACACGGUCCAGACUCCUACGGGAGGCAGCAGUAGGGAAUCUUCCGCAAUGGGCGAAAGCCUGACGGAGCAACGCCGCGUGAGUGAAGAAGGUCUUCGGAUCGUAAAACUCUGUUAUUAGGGAAGAACAAAUGUGUAAGUAACUAUGCACGUCUUGACGGUACCUAAUCAGAAAGCCACGGCUAACUACGUG